RNAcentral lists this ribosomal RNA (722 nucleotides) under uncultured fungus. RNAcentral describes it as "eukaryotic LSU rRNA". The stretch from base 352 to 505 matches the Rfam family "5.8S ribosomal RNA". Lineage: Eukaryota; Fungi. The record is from RNAcentral.
UACACACCGCCCGUCGCUACUACCGAUUGAAUGGCUGAGUGAGGCCUUCGGACUGACCCAGGGAGGUCGGCAACGACCACCCAGGGCCGGAAAGUUGGUCAAAAUCCGUCAUUUAGAGGAAGUAAAAGUCGUAACAAGGUUUCCGUAGGUGAACCUGCGGAAGGAUCAUUAAAGAGUAAGGGUGCUCAGCGCCCGACCUCCAACCCUUUGUUGUUAAAACUACCUUGUUGCUUUGGCGGGACCGCUCGGUCUCGAGCCGCUGGGGAUUCGUCCCAGGCGAGCGCCCGCCAGAGUUAAACCAAACUCUUGUUAUUAAACCGGUCGUCUGAGUUAAAAUUUUGAAUAAAUCAAAACUUUCAACAACGGAUCUCUUGGUUCUCGCAUCGAUGAAGAACGCAGCGAAAUGCGAUAAGUAAUGUGAAUUGCAGAAUUCAGUGAAUCAUCGAAUCUUUGAACGCACAUUGCGCCCCUUGGUAUUCCGAGGGGCAUGCCUGUUCGAGCGUCAUUACACCACUCAAGCUAUGCUUGGUAUUGGGUGCCGUCCUUAGUUGGGCGCGCCUUAAAGACCUCGGCGAGGCCACUCCGGCUUUAGGCGUAGUAGAAUUUAUUCGAACGUCUGUCAAAGGAGAGGAUCUCUGCCGAUUGAAAGCUUUAUUUUUCUAGGUUGACCUCGGAUCAGGUAGGGAUACCCGCUGAACUUAAGCAUAUCAAUAAGCGGAGGA